Molecule: unclassified non-coding RNA, 316 nt
Filed under: Hevea brasiliensis (rubber tree)
Lineage: Eukaryota; Viridiplantae; Streptophyta; Magnoliopsida; Malpighiales; Euphorbiaceae
Source: RNAcentral
UUUUUUUUUUUUUUUAAUCUUUCAAAUUAGAUUAAAGUAGUGUUAACUAGUUUUUAUUACUGUUUACCUAGUUUUUAUGCUGUUGGCUUCUGAUAUAAAUGCCUUUGAUGGUUUCUUUAUUUGAAUUUGCUAAUUAUACACUGACAAUCUAAAUUGUUGAACUGGAAAUUAUUGAGAAGAGAACUGUAAAUUGAUUUUUAUGUGUUUGUAUACAGUUUGAAGAGUGGGUUUCAGUUUUGCUCAUGCAUAAUUAUACUUUUGCGAAUGAUUUUUUUUUUCUUUUUCUGGAUUCAGGUAUCAAUAUAUAAUUCAGCUA